Long non-coding RNA from Rosa rugosa (rugosa rose), 523 nucleotides. RefSeq lists it as uncharacterized. The record is from RefSeq and is a predicted model, not a curated record. The transcript has 2 exons. Lineage: Eukaryota; Viridiplantae; Streptophyta; Magnoliopsida; Rosales; Rosaceae.
CCUAGUUCUAUUAGGGUUUGGAGUUUCCCUCAUGCACAUAUAAAUAUAUGUUUUCUAUCACCAAUUAAGGUGUGAGAGAGAAAAGAAAAAAGCCACAGCUUAGUGUUAUUGAAGUUAGCCACAGUUUUUUUUUUUUGAGGAGUUAGCCACAGUUUUGGGCUCUAUAGAAAAUUACCUUUUGGUUUGUUGCUUUUGUUCUUGUGAGCAACAAUAUAUUGAGAAAACCUAUGGAGGGACGGGAAUCGAUCAAACUCCGGAAGCAGGUUGUGACUUGUAGAUGAAGUUGCUCAAUGAAGUACAGUAGCCAAACUUGGCUCUUAUAAUUUGACAAUAAGAAAUGGAAUUGUGUGAGGGUUUAUGUCAAGAAUAAUGAAAUUGAGAUUCUAGCUAGCAGUAUCGACAGCAACGGUCGAAUUUACACUUGUACUUAUUUAGUGAAUUUUGAAAAAAAGAAAAGUUGUGCCCGAUGAUGAUUUUUUUCUUUCUCUGAUGGAUAUCUCAAGGAGUAAAAGGGUGUUUUGAA